RNAcentral lists this ribosomal RNA (497 nucleotides) under uncultured bacterium. RNAcentral describes it as "partial 16S ribosomal RNA". It matches the Rfam family "Bacterial small subunit ribosomal RNA", at positions 28 to 507 of the family's 1533-position model. The record is from RNAcentral.
GACGAACGCUGGCGGCGUGCCUAAUACAUGCAAGUUGAGCGCUGAAGGUUGGUACUUGUACCAACUGGAUGAGCAGCAAACGGGUGAGUAACGCGUGGGGAAUCUGCCUUUGAGCGGGGGACAACAUUUGGAAACGAAUGCUAAUACCGCAUAAAAACUUUAAACACAAGUUUUAAGUUUGAAAGAUGCAAUUGCAUCACUCAAAGAUGAUCCCGCGUUGUAUUAGCUAGUUGGUGAGGUAAAGGCUCACCAAGGCGAUGAUACAUAGCCGACCUGAGAGGGUGAUCGGCCACAUUGGGACUGAGACACGGCCCAAACUCCUACGGGAGGCAGCAGUAGGGAAUCUUCGGCAAUGGACGAAAGUCUGACCGAGCAACGCCGCGUGAGUGAAGAAGGUUGUCGGAUCGUAAAACUCUGUUGGUAGAGAAGAACGUUGGUGAGAGUGGAAAGCUCAUCAAGUGACGGUAACUACCCAGAAAGGGACGGCUAACUACGUG